UACGAAGGGUCCAAGCGUUGUUCGGAGUUAUUGGGCGUAAAGCGGGUGUAGGCGGUUUCGUAAGUCAGGAGUGAAAGCCCUCAGCUCAACCGAGGAAGUGCUUUUGAAACUGUGAAACUUGAGUAUUGGAGAGGAUAGUAGAAUUCCUGGUGUAGUGGUGAAAUACGUAGAUAUCAGGAGGAAUACCGGUGGCGAAGGCGGCUAUCUGGCCAAAUACUGACGCUGAGACCCGAAAGCGUGGGGAGCAAACUGG
Molecule: ribosomal RNA, 253 nt
Filed under: uncultured bacterium
Lineage: Bacteria
Description: partial 16S ribosomal RNA
Rfam family: Bacterial small subunit ribosomal RNA
Source: RNAcentral